Molecule: long non-coding RNA, 6169 nt
Filed under: Sus scrofa (pig)
Lineage: Eukaryota; Metazoa; Chordata; Mammalia; Artiodactyla; Suidae
Description: lncRNA (ENSSSCG00035066321.1)
Source: RNAcentral
AAGAAGAAGAAGAAGAUAUGCUGAAAAAAUUCAGGCAGGCUGUUGGAAAGAACGCUGUCGUCAAGUCUGGCUUUUCUCCUAAAAACUCUCUCUGUGGGCCACUGGAUCUAUUUACAGAUGCAGCACAAACUCCAUGUCUGAUCAUUACAAUAGGAUUUCUCAGAACCCAGCCUGCUGGGCAAGGAAAGUACCAGGCCUCCCUGGGAAGUACUUUCACAGACCUACCUGGAUCAUCCAGGAAACACCUGGAAAGAGCCCCAACCCUGAAAGGAAAAUUUAUGGCUGUUUUUCCAUGAGGGCAUUUGAGAAAUGAACUGUGUCUUUGAUAAGCCAAUGCCAAACGAUGCACUGUGUGGAGGCCACGAGGCCAGAGGACUGUUUGCAUGGUGUGCACAGCACCAAGCAAUAAGCUUCGGGCUUCACCUAAGGCACCAGCAAUUGCCCCCUUCAUUCACUCAUUCAUCCAGUCACUUGCGGCCCAUCUGAAACACAGUGACAAGACUUUUCACAGUGCCCUUCACCUGAAGUCCAAUGUCUUCAACCUGUUUAACUUUUAAACUCUUCCUGAGCCAUGCUCUCAACCUCCAUUCUUCGCAAAUGCCACCUAAGGAGCUGUUAUUUAGGUACCAUCUUGGCAAGCCCUGUGGUCAGUGAUCAGAAUUCCCUUGAGUCAAUGGUGCUGCUUCAUUUGACAGAGUCGACUGGUUGCUUCUGAAAAUACUCCAGCUUUCAAAGGCCAUCUAUACACUGAUGCUUCGCUCACUCCUGUCUCCGAAUCUGCCUUCUUUUCUCUUGAGUUCCAGGUAAGUCAAUCAAUGUCACCCUUCACUUCACUUGGAAUCUUCAACAGGAUGUGUCCAGACAGAACUCUUACUUCCCCAUGACUCCAAACCCUUUCUCUGGCAAUUUUUUCUACCUACACUUCCACCCACCGUCACCAGACCCCAAAUCCUAAAAGUCACUCUUACUUUUAUCACGCGGCCACGAUCCCUUUAUGUCCAGAACAUAUGUGGAGUCCAAUUUUUCUCAAUGUCUUCCCCUCCCUGCUCUGUUCAAGCUACCAUCCUCUCUCCUGGGUUCCCUCCCACAAUAUCUUCUUCUCUCAACCCCACCAGCCUACUGUUUUCACGGACAGAGUACCAUAAAAGUAUAAAUCAGAUCUGAUUACCCAAGAUGCCACCCUAAUGACAUCCCACUGCCAUCCAAAUCAAGCUCAGAUUCCCUAGCUUGACCUACUGCACAUCUGCCUUUGCUCACCUCUGACCUCGGACGUCCGGCACUGAUUGCCCAUCACACCUCCUGCUCUCUUUAUAAUUUAGCUUCUCGGUCCUCCUUUCCAUCCUUCGCCUUUCCAGCUUAUUUCUUCCUAAAGCCUUUCAAUUGCUUUGCUUCUUCCAGGAAAGUUGGAUCUCUCAAUCUGUGCCUCAUACUUUCGAACUACGUUAAAAUCAAAUGAAGAAUUAAAUAUAAAUCCAGGUAGAUUUCCAGGACCAAGGAUGUCAGAAUCUCUGAAGGAGUGGGCUGAGGAUAUAUAUUUUCAAACUCCUCACAUAAUACAAUGAAUAGGCAACAAUGUGGAGAAUACUUUGCCCCAAACCUACACAGGGACGUUCUGUUAUCAAGGCUCUGAGCCCCGUCAUCUCUUGGGAGGUGGUUUCUCUGGCCACCUGUGCGAAGGGCUUCCCCUGUUCUCUGAUGACCCCUGACCUGGAACCCAUUUCCCUGUGUUCCCUUAUAGCACAUAUCAUUACUCAAGAUGUUCUUACGUGACUCCUUGCUGACUGGCUACCUUCCCUUCUGAGAACAAUGAUGAGGACUGGGUCUCCAUCUGCUUACUGCUCGUUCCGGAUGCUCACCACUCGGUCCACCGGUCAAAACUCUAUCACAUAACCUGCCACAUUGCCGGGGGCUGGGAAAUUUAGGGUAGCUGUGAUCCCAGGAGAAGACCCAAGCUGGACGCUCACUCAGCAGUGUUGCUGCACAGCAUGGGAAGGGUACGGUUUUUCAAGCAUCCAAGGAAAGAGUUCCUAAUUUCAAUUCCCCAGAGACAGUGACAUCUAAGGAGGGCCCUCGGAGUUCAUAAGAGGGAAAGAGGAGAAUGAGGGAAGGAUAACAUUUCUAAGGAGAAACUCCAUCUCGUUUCACGGUACCUAAGGAUCUGAUGAUGACAAGACAGCACACUCCCAAAAUUGAAAAUAAUUUCAGUGUGACUAGGGGAACAGAGGAAUGAAGGCUGGGGAGUCUCACUGAAAGACAAGGCUGGAGAGAAGUAAGAACUGCCUUGUAAUCCAGGAGAAAAACUUCAUGCUUUCGCCUGAGAUUCUUUGGGAGAAGGGGAGAGAGGCGUGGUUUGAUGUGCAUACGAUAAAAUUCAUUUGGCUAAAGCAUGGUUGUAGGGGGUGUGAGGGGUGACAGGAAGGCAGUAUUUGAGGCCUGGGAGACCGGUUACAAAUGGCAGUUAAUCUGGGAGACAGUUACGUGAUCUAAUUUUUAAAUGCCAGAGAGAGAGAAUCAAACACCGUGCCCACCUACUUGACAGAUUAUUCUGUGUAAUUAAUUUCUGAAAAUUGCAUUAGCUGGUGGAUGACUCCCAGAGCAUCAGCCAAGGGCUCCAUGGCCCUGAGUGGGUCACACUUGAGAUGAGGGCGCCUGUCGUUCUGCUCUGAAGAGACGUCUGCUUAUCUCACCACUUUCACUGUGGACGGAUGGCACAGGUGGUAAAGGAGGAAAACCCAGACUCAAACUAGCUUCAGCAAAGCGGGACAUUGACUGGUUCAUAUAACCAAACUCUGGCUUUAGAGCCCUCUCGCCUCUGCGAUCGUUCUGGCUUUGCGGGUGGGCCUCCUUCUUAUGUGCUCGUCUGCCUCAUUUCCUCUGUCUCCACUCUUUACGUUCCAGCCCGGCCACACCACCAAGGAUUUCACGCAGUGAAUGCCAAGGGCACCCGCAUUUCCUAGCCUUUGGACAUGUAGGACCCGGAGCCUGCCAGAUGUGUUUCCGUUACAAUGUCCUGCUCCAGGCAACUCCCACCUGCUUCAAGGAACAUCCCACUCCCUUUCUGAUGGUCCAUCAUCUGGUCCAUCCCCUACCACAUUCCAGGAAGCUCAGGGAGUUUAAGCAGCUCAUCCGUGGGCACACAGAUGAGAAGCAGUAGAUGAUGCACCUGGAAUUUAGACCUAGGUGCAUCUCUCAGUCAGAGGUCACCCCUCAUCUGGCUCGGCCGCAUCCGCACCCAGCUCAUCUCCUUCCACUCUCCCAGCACCAGCUUGCCUUGCCACGGCCUCAUCUGCCUUCUCCCCAUUUCCUGAACGGCCAGCUCAGAGCCUUCAUGCCCCAGAGUCUUGCCUGCACAGGAUGUUUCUCGGUCCCGGGGCCUCAGGUCAAAGUCACUUUCGCUGGGAGAUUACCGGAGCUCUGCAUAAAAACAGCCAGCCCCACUCUCACUCUCACCCUGUUCCCAUACUUUCUCUCUGAAUUCCUGAGGCUCUGUUCUCGGGGACAUUCUCCCUCUCUUAACAGACGUCCACACCAACAGGGCAGGGGGAUGGCAGAUUUUAAGAGGGAAAAUUUAAGCUGAUCUUACAGACUUAAGAAUGGCAGUUUUGCAACCAGUAAGCUAUUAAAGAUGUUUUUGUUUGUUUGUUUGUUUAAUGGGCAUACUUUAAGAACGCUGAUAAUGUUCUGGUGUCUUGUUGGGGAAAAUGUUUGCAAACUUGCUUCCUAUAAGUUAAGUUAUAAAUGUGACAGCCUCUGAGAUUUUCUCACAUUUUAAGUCUGUUGCCUUUUAACUUCCUUGACCUUCAGCUAAACGGUAGGCUAGGUUAAGACACUGAGGUCUAUCCACUCUCUACACCCUGUAUAAGAACCGAAGAAGAAAAAAGAGAAGUGUCUAAGCGGUAAGGAAGGGCAGAAAGAUGAAACCGGAAACUGCAGACGGAAUCAAAAGGAUCGUUUCGUUAAUCAGAAGUUGCAUCCAAAUGAAUGUAACCCAACCUUUUGAUUCGCAUGUGGAAUUCUAGGUUGUCCAGGCUGUUCCUACUACUGCCUGGUUGAAUACUUUAGGCCAAAGUUAGUUGUCCAGUGAGACUAUGUGAUAAGAAGAGAAGGAAAAAAAAGCCAUUGUAACAGCCACUUUUUUUUUUUUUCAAAAUAGAAAUAAUUUUUAAAUCAGGAAAAAAAAAAUCAAAUCAAGUGAGAGAAUGAGCAGGGAUUUCACCAGCCUCUCCCACUGCUCUUCCUCUGGUCUCUGGCACUCAGAAAGCAAGCAGUAAACGUUUGUUGAAUGAAUAAACGAGUACUAUUUGCCUCUGGAGGAAUGAUCGGCUCUCUUCCAGGAAUUCAGCAUUAGUGAUUUGGGCAGAGGCAUGACCACUGUCAUCACAGGAGGACAGGUACCCCUGAGACAUGGUGGGGAGAAGCCAGGUAGAAGGGACAGUUUUCUGCGUGUGGAAGUGAGGGGGCAUCCAUCGCUUUCUCCUCCGAAUCUUUUGAUUACCCAUCAGGGCGGAGCUGAACUUUGUGGUGCUUCAGUCGAGAGGCCGUAGCAAAGCAGGCCUGGGUGCGUGCACAGGGCCGGGCAGCUCUUUUCUAUAAUUUUCUUCUCCCAGUUUCUGAGCAAUCUAAACAGAACUAAUUCCAACGUCCCAGUUUUCACUGCCAGCCAAACAAAAGCAGCAUUGGAGCCCAGCGAUGCGGUCAUGCCACCCACGCCCCCUCUGCCGGGGUCUGAGCUGGGGCUGCUGUCAUCAAUAGCCUCCUUGUUGGCCACCUCGGCCCCCGGGGGGUGACCAGCGGGACGCUCUCAUCUCAAUGGGCUCCCUCUCUGCCGUGGCUCCUCGUUUCGGCGGAUAGUCCCAAGGAUAUAGACUGCGUUACAGUUAGUCAUCAUGUCCCCAAGUCCCUGAAACUUAUUUGCCACAUGGAGUCGACUGGCCUUUGUGAUGGGGACAAAGAGAGGCUUGUUGGACGCUGCACACAAAAGGCAAACACAAUGUAUGGAUUUCUGAAUAAGACACAGGCGGGGGAAGAGCAGCGGCCACACAAAUGGCCACGUUACGGAGCAGACAGAGCGCCUUUCCCCCAGACUCUGCCCAGUUCUUCCAUGAAUGUCUCUGACCUGGGUCUUUAAGAUUUUUCCAGCAGUUAGGAGACAGCUGAGCCAGGCAGGCAGCCUGAUGGAGUCCAAAUGACUGACUCCCGCAUGAAUCUUCCUGAGAGACGUGUGUGCUCCUGGAGCCCGGCUUACACAUUCCCUAAGGGGCCGUACAGCGACGCCUGAGCUCUGAGAAUGUGUGUCCAAGGAUGCGUGAGUGUGCACGUGUGGGUGUCUGUGUGUCUGCAUCUCUGGACGUGUGCAGGUGUGAGCAUUCCCACAAAUGAGUGUACAUGUGUGAGCAUGUGCAUGUCACUGUGGGUGGUGUGUGUGUGUGAGGGUGCACGUGUGAAUGUGUGUCUAUGCACUGGGAUGUGGGGGAAACCAGAAUGUACAUGUGAGCGUGGCAUGAUGAGUGUGUGUGUCUCCGAGUCUUGUAUGUGAGUGUGUGUGUGUGUGAGAGAGAGAGAGACAGAAAGAAUAUGAAUGUGGGUAAGAGUGUACAAGGGUAUCCUGUGAGAUGAUUGUGAGUGUGUGUAUGUGUGGGAGCAGCCAAGAAAGAGAGAGUGUGAGUGUGUGAGUGUGUGUGUGCGCACGCUGCCUGAGAGGUCAGGUCACCACGGCCACACCCUCCCAGGAGAGACACCAGCCCCAAGCCACCAAGCCUGCCAGAUCCCCUCCCCAUUCCGACAGCCUCACUGCCACGCUGUGUCCCCAUGGACGGGCUGCAGGAACGGGCAGGACCACAGGCUAUCACAGGAAGGGUCUGCAGAACCUCGGUGGCUUUGGUGACUGCCAGGGCCUGUGAGCUCUGAUGGGCCCAAACCAGUGCCUUUUCACAUGUGACAACCACUUCAUCUCCCUGGAGAAUGUCAUCAGCCGGUUCUGCAGGUUUUCCAGACCCUUCCAGCUCCUUUACAAGUUCUACAGAAAGUGUUUAAACAGACCCCAUCCUCGACGAGAACAGGAGGCUGCGGGCUCAGAAACUAGACAAUCCUCUGGCUGCUUCCACGUUUUUACUGGCAUACCUGUCCACCAGCCCAGGUGGACUCCUCUGCCUCCUCCCUCCCGCCCCCC